Molecule: long non-coding RNA, 416 nt
Organism: Mesocricetus auratus (golden hamster)
Lineage: Eukaryota; Metazoa; Chordata; Mammalia; Rodentia; Cricetidae
Exons: 3
Source: RefSeq, a predicted model, not a curated record
GGUUGACCUUGAACUAGAUUCACAACCAAGGAUGAUGACCGGCUUCCAUCUCAAAUGUGCUUCAGUGAGUGUGGAUUCUUACUGAGAUCCAUAUGCAAAGAUGAGAGGAAGUAGGCACCGACCUGAGAGUUUAUGCACCGGAGUGUCUCCAGCUCUGCAUACGUGUGGGAGUUUGAGUGAAAGGGCAUUUGCACAGAUCUACACCAGGUCAGCCAGGACUACAAAGAGAAACCCUGCCUUGAAAGAACAAAGAACAACAAAAACAAAGACUUUGGACUCCAGGAAAUGAAGCCGUAAAAAACCUCACACUGGGAGUUGCACCCAGCUUUAAAUAAAUGACUCCUCAAGAACCUGGGAGCCCAUGCAAUAUUUAAAGUGUGCUUUGAACUGAGGAUCACCUGGACCAUAGAACACUG